CAAAACCGAACGAACAGGUUGAGAGGCAGCAGCAGGCAGCCAUAUGCCAUUAGCUCACGCAGGAGCUAGCUAGCAGUUUAAUCACUCGCUGCCCGCGGGCUUGUAGGCGAUGAAGCUGACGCACUGCGUCUGCUUGAUGUUGUCGAAGCCGAGGAUCCGGACGUAGGCGUCCGGGUAGGAGGCGAUGGCCUCCUGCAGCUCCUUGUAGACCUGCGACGCGUCGGUGCAGCCGAACAUGGGCAGCUUCCACAUGGUCCAGUAGCGGCCGUCGUAGUAGCACGGGGAGGUGGAGUUCUCGCGGUACACGAAGCCUUCCUUGCUGAACUCGAGGCAGGGCACCCAGUUGUUGCGCAGCAGGUAGUCCACCUGCUUCAGCAGCUGCUCCUCCGUCAGCGGCGGCAGGUACGACAGCGUCUCGAACUUCUUGUUCCCGUACGCCGGCCACACCUGCAAAUUAAUGCAUGCAUCGAUCGAUGUACGUGUUUGUGGUUGCAUUUCGCUAGCUCUGCUGCAAAGAAUGAAUGAAGAUGGCCGGCCGGAGCCAAGAACGAAAGGCCAACUAGCUCUUGUGUUAAUUAUGUUGUUAUUACCUGCAUGCACCGGAUCCUGCCGCCGUUGCUGACUUUGGCGAGGCUGGUGGUGGAGCGGCGGGCGACGGGGAGGGUGGCGGUGGACUUGAGACCCUGGAACGGAGCGACGGCGGUGGCGGACGAGGCCAUCACGGUGGGCGCCAUUGCUGCUGCUAUGUAGUACUAGUAGCUAGUGAGGGAGCGAGCUGAGAGUGAGCUGCUUGCUGUUUUUGCUGCUUCUUGCUGCUUGG
RNAcentral lists this long non-coding RNA (820 nucleotides) under Sorghum bicolor (sorghum). RNAcentral's name for it is "long non-coding RNA (SBIC_LNC007590)". The record is from RNAcentral. Lineage: Eukaryota; Viridiplantae; Streptophyta; Magnoliopsida; Poales; Poaceae.